This 253-nucleotide ribosomal RNA is filed under the name uncultured bacterium. RNAcentral's name for it is "partial 16S ribosomal RNA". It matches the Rfam family "Bacterial small subunit ribosomal RNA", at positions 524 to 776 of the family's 1533-position model. The record is from RNAcentral.
UACGUAGGGUGCGAGCGUUGUCCGGAAUUAUUGGGCGUAAAGGGCUCGUAGGCGGUUUGUCGCGUCGGGCGUGAAAACCCAGGGCUUAACCCUGGGCUGGCUUCCGAUACGGGCAGACUAGAGGUAUGCAGGGGAGAACGGAAUUCCUGGUGUAGCGGUGAAAUGCGCAGAUAUCAGGAGGAACACCGGUGGCGAAGGCGGUUCUCUGGGCAUUGCCUGACGCUGAGGAGCGAAAGUGUGGGGAGCGAACAGG